ACUCUAAUAGUCGAGUAGUAAGAUUCUAAUUUGAUAAGUUAAAGGCUUAGGUUCGAUUCCUAAUUAGAGUA
This is a transfer RNA of Coniochaeta ligniaria NRRL 30616, 71 nucleotides long. It matches the Rfam family "tRNA". Rfam says of the family: Transfer RNA (tRNA) molecules are approximately 80 nucleotides in length. Their secondary structure includes four short double-helical elements and three loops (D, anti-codon, and T loops). Further hydrogen bonds mediate the characteristic L-shaped molecular structure. tRNAs have two regions of fundamental functional importance: the anti-codon, which is responsible for specific mRNA codon recognition, and the 3' end, to which the tRNAs corresponding amino acid is attached (by aminoacyl-tRNA synthetases). tRNAs cope with the degeneracy of the genetic code in two manners: having more than one tRNA (with a specific anti-codon) for a particular amino acid; and 'wobble' base-pairing, i.e. permitting non-standard base-pairing at the 3rd anti-codon position. The record is from Rfam. Lineage: Eukaryota; Fungi; Ascomycota; Sordariomycetes; Coniochaetales; Coniochaetaceae.